UACGUAGGAUGCAAGCGUUGUCCGGAAUUAUUGGGCGUAAAGAGUGCGUAGGCGGUCUAUCAAGUCAGAUGUGAAAUAUCCCGGCUUAACCGGGAGGGGUCAUUUGAAACUGGUAGACUAGAGUACAGCAGAGGAUAGCGGAAUUCCCGGUGUAGUGGUGAAAUGCGUAGAUAUCGGGAGGAACACCAGUGGCGAAGGCGGCUAUCUGGGCUGAAACUGACGCUGAGGCGCGAAGGCUAGGGGAGCAAACAGG
This 253-nucleotide ribosomal RNA is filed under the name uncultured bacterium. Its description in RNAcentral is "partial 16S ribosomal RNA". It matches the Rfam family "Bacterial small subunit ribosomal RNA", at positions 524 to 776 of the family's 1533-position model. The record is from RNAcentral.